CCUACGGGUGGCAGCAGUGGGGAAUAUUGGGCAAUGGGCGCAAGCCUGACCCAGCAACGCCGCGUGAAGGAAGAAGGCUUUCGGGUUUUAAACUUCUUUUCUCAGGGACGAAGCAAGUGACGGUACCUGAGGAAUAAGCCACGGCUAACUACGUGCCAGCAGCCGCGGUAAUACGUAGGUGGCAAGCGUUAUCCGGAUGUACUGGGUGUAAAGGUCGUGUAGGCGGGGACGUAAGUCAGAUGUGAAAACCACGGGCUCAACCUGUGGCCUGCAUUUGAAACUGUGUGUCUUGAGUACUGGAGAGGCAGACGGAAUUCGUAGUGUAGCGGUGAAAUGCGUAGAUAGUAGGAGGAACACCAGUGGCGAAGGCGGUUUGCUGGACAGCAACUGACGCUGAGGCGCGAAAGCGUGGGGAGCAAACAGGAUUAGAUACCCUUGUAGUC
This 443-nucleotide ribosomal RNA is filed under the name uncultured bacterium. Its description in RNAcentral is "partial 16S ribosomal RNA". It matches the Rfam family "Bacterial small subunit ribosomal RNA", at positions 338 to 795 of the family's 1533-position model. The record is from RNAcentral.